Long non-coding RNA from Coregonus clupeaformis (lake whitefish), 673 nucleotides. RefSeq lists it as uncharacterized. The record is from RefSeq and is a predicted model, not a curated record. The transcript is spliced from 3 exons. Lineage: Eukaryota; Metazoa; Chordata; Actinopteri; Salmoniformes; Salmonidae.
ACUCUGCACUACAACACCUGAUUACUACAACCUUCAAGCGCGCCACUGCACCGAGGAAGAACACACAGACACAGCAAUGGAUUGUGCUUCACAUACCAACAGCCAAAAUGACUGCAAUAAAAAAAAACCUGUUGCCAAAUGUCCUACAAAACCAGGCCAAGACAUAUCAUGCCAAGACAUAUCAGGCCAAACCAUAUCAGGCCAAACCAUAUCAGGCCAAACCAUAUCAGGCCAAACCAUAUCAGGCGCUGUGAGCGGCAAUAUUUCCUUUGGCAACCAGACCAAUAAACCCAGUCAUACCGGUUAACAAAAAACUCCCAGAAAAACUGUCGCACCCAGCAUCACCAUAGCCAACAUAACAGGUGGCAGAGUGGGUCUCUACUACAAGGCAGAGAAGAUGGCUCUCUGUGACCUCAUCAAGGGGAGUCAACUCAAGGGCGAAUCCAUCCUUAUCCUGGAAGACACCUUUAAGAAGACCCCUCUUCCUCAGAACCUCGAUUUCACUGGCUUCCAAGUAGAAAGUGACAAUACACACAGAUUAAACUACAUACAAAUUAUUGAUUACAAAUAAACGGAAUAAAUCACAGAUAUGUGAAAAAGUGCUGAGUGUAUGGUCGAAAUCAGCAAUAUAAUCACUGUAGGUUUUUGACCAAAUAAUAAAUGUUACCAAACU